CCUACGGGAGGCAGCAGUGAGGAAUAUUGGUCAAUGGACGCAAGUCUGAACCAGCCAUGUCGCGUGCAGGAUGACUGCCCUAUGAGUUGUAAACUGCUUUUGUAAGAGGAUAAAACGAGGCACGUGUGCCUUUUUGCAUGUAUUUUAUGAAUAAGGAUCGGCUAACUCCGUGCCAGCAGCCGCGGUAAUACGGAGGAUCCGAGCGUUAUCCGGAUUUAUUGGGUUUAAAGGGUGCGUAGAUGGUUUGAUAAGUUAGUUGUGAAAGUUUGCGGCUCAACUGUAAAAUUGCCAUUGAUACUGGCCGUCUGGAGAACAGUUGAGGUAGGCGGAAUUCGUGGUGUAGCGGUGAAAUGCUUAGAGAUCACAAAGAACCCCGAUUGCGAAGGCAGCUUACGAAGCUGUGACUGACAUUGAUGCACGAAAGUGUGGGGAGCAAACAGGAUUAGAUACCCGGGUAGUC
Molecule: ribosomal RNA, 460 nt
Filed under: uncultured bacterium
Lineage: Bacteria
Description: partial 16S ribosomal RNA
Rfam family: Bacterial small subunit ribosomal RNA
Source: RNAcentral